UCAGUGCCUGUCCCCAGGGCGCUGUCCCCGUGCCAGGGCGGUGACAUUCCCGGCCGGGGCUGGCCCUGGGGACAUGCGACAGCAGCUGGCCGAGCGCGAGCAGGCGCUGCAGCUGGCGCGGGACACGAUCCAGAUCCUGCAGGCCAAGGUGGGGCGGCUGGAGCAGCUCCUGCUCCUCAAAAAUCUCCGCAUCGACGACCUGAGCCGGCGGCUGCAGCAGCUGCAGGGCCACCGCCGCUGACAGGCGACAGCGACAGCAGCGACACCGCGGUGGCACCGGGGGACAGCCCGGGGGCUCCCAGUGGCUCCCAGCGCGUCCCAGUUCGCCCAGCGCCCGGCGCGGCUCCGGCGCUGGGAAUUAAAGUGUUGGAUCCUGG
Non-coding RNA from Cyanistes caeruleus (blue tit), 377 nucleotides. NCBI's taxonomy places the organism in Eukaryota, Metazoa, Chordata, Aves, Passeriformes, Paridae. The record is from RefSeq and is a predicted model, not a curated record.